This 384-nucleotide ribosomal RNA is filed under the name uncultured bacterium. RNAcentral describes it as "bacterial SSU rRNA". It matches the Rfam family "Bacterial small subunit ribosomal RNA", at positions 30 to 416 of the family's 1533-position model. The record is from RNAcentral.
AUUGAACGCUGGCGGCAUGCCUUACACAUGCAAGUCGAACGGCAGCGGACCUUCGGGUGCCGGCGAGUGGCGAACGGGUGAGUAAUAUAUCGGAACGUACCUUUCAGUGGGGGAUAACGUAGCGAAAGUUACGCUAAUACCGCAUAUUCUGUGAGCAGGAAAGCAGGGGAUCGCAAGACCUUGCGCUGAUUGAGCGGCCGAUAUCAGAUUAGCUAGUUGGUGAGGUAAAGGCUCACCAAGGCGACGAUCUGUAGCGGGUCUGAGAGGAUGAUCCGCCACACUGGGACUGAGACACGGUCCAGACUCCUACGGGAGGCAGCAGUGGGGAAUUUUGGACAAUGGGCGCAAGCCUGAUCCAGCCAUGCCGCGUGAGUGAAGAAGGCC